RNAcentral lists this ribosomal RNA (253 nucleotides) under uncultured bacterium. RNAcentral describes it as "partial 16S ribosomal RNA". It matches the Rfam family "Bacterial small subunit ribosomal RNA", at positions 524 to 776 of the family's 1533-position model. The record is from RNAcentral.
UACGAAGGGGGCGAGCGUUGUUCGGAUUUACUGGGCGUAAAGGGCGCGCAGGCGGUGCGGUUUGUCGAGUGUGAAAGCCCCGGGCUCAACCUGGGAACUGCGCUCGGGACGGCGGCACUGGAGAUCGGGAGAGGAGCGUGGAAUUCCCAGUGUAGAGGUGAAAUUCGUAGAUAUUGGGAAGAACACCGGUGGCGAAGGCGGCGCUCUGGACCGAUACUGACGCUGAGGCGCGAAAGCGUGGGGAGCAAACAGG